This 76-nucleotide transfer RNA is filed under the name Magnetococcales bacterium. RNAcentral describes it as "tRNA-Thr". It matches the Rfam family "tRNA". From Rfam's summary of the family: Transfer RNA (tRNA) molecules are approximately 80 nucleotides in length. Their secondary structure includes four short double-helical elements and three loops (D, anti-codon, and T loops). Lineage: Bacteria; Pseudomonadati; Pseudomonadota; Magnetococcia; Magnetococcales. The record is from RNAcentral.
GCCGACGUGGCUCAACUGGCAGAGCACCGGAUUUGUAAUCCGUAGGUUGGGGGUUCGAUUCCCCCCGUCGGCUCCA